This 460-nucleotide ribosomal RNA is filed under the name uncultured bacterium. RNAcentral's name for it is "partial 16S ribosomal RNA". It matches the Rfam family "Bacterial small subunit ribosomal RNA", at positions 338 to 795 of the family's 1533-position model. The record is from RNAcentral.
CCUACGGGUGGCAGCAGUGAGGAAUAUUGGUCAAUGGACGAGAGUCUGAACCAGCCAAGUAGCGUGAAGGAUGACUGCCCUAUGGGUUGUAAACUUCUUUUAUAUGGGAAUAAAACGUUCCACGUGUGGGAUUUUGUAUGUACCAUAUGAAUAAGGAUCGGCUAACUCCGUGCCAGCAGCCGCGGUAAUACGGAGGAUCCGAGCGUUAUCCGGAUUUAUUGGGUUUAAAGGGAGCGUAGGUGGAGUGUUAAGUCAGUUGUGAAAGUUUGCGGCUCAACCGGAAAAUUGCAGUUGAAACUGGCAGUCUUGAGUACAGUAGAGGUGGGCGGAAUUCGUGGUGUAGCGGUGAAAUGCUUAGAUAUCACGAAGAACUCCGAUUGCGAAGGCAGUUCACUGGACUGCAACUGACACUGAGGCUCGAAAGUGUGGGUAUCAAACAGGAUUAGAUACCCUUGUAGUC